AUAAUACUCCAUAGAUUAGAGACACUGGAAUGUUCUUUAGUCGAAAGUUCUGGCGCCUUAGGAUGGAUCUGCGGUCGAUUAGGUUGUUGUUGGGGUAACGGCCCAAUAAGCCUGUAAUCGAUACGGGUUGUGGGAGCAAGAGCCCGGAGAUGGAAUCUGAGACACGAUUCCAGGCCCUACGGGGCGCAGCAGGCGCGAAAACUUUACAAUGCAGGAAACUGUGAUAAGGGAACUCCGAGUGCCCGUAUACGCGGGCUGUCCAGGUGUUUAAAAAUCAUCUGAAGAAAGGGCCGGGCAAGACCGGUGCCAGCCGCCGCGGUAAUACCGGCGGCUCGAGUGGUGGCCACUAUUAUUGGGCUUAAAGCGUCCGUAGCUGGACCGAUAAGUCUCUUGGGAAAUCCGCCGGCUCAACCGGCGGGCGUCUAAGGGAUACUGUUAGUCUAGGGACCGGGAGAGGUGAGAGGUACUCCGGGGGUAGGAGUGAAAUCCUGUAAUCCCCGGGGGACCACCGAUGGCGAAGGCAUCUCACCAGAACGGCUCCGACAGUGAGGGACGAAAGCUGGGGGAGCGAACCGGAUUAGAUACCCGGGUAGUCCCAGCCGUAAACUAUGCGCGUUAGGUGU
This 623-nucleotide ribosomal RNA is filed under the name uncultured archaeon. RNAcentral's name for it is "bacterial SSU rRNA". It matches the Rfam family "Archaeal small subunit ribosomal RNA", at positions 146 to 774 of the family's 1478-position model. The record is from RNAcentral.